UUUUUUUUUUUUUUUUUUUUGAGGGGGGAAAAUCAUCCAAUGACUUUUCUCGCCUUGGGCGAGGCGAGAGGGAGUGUCAGACUCUUACUGACUAAAAACCACCCCGUUCCUUCUCCUGCUUUUCGAGCCGGAGCCCCGGUAAACCCGCUAGGUAGUCCGCAGCUCCGGAUCAGGCAUCAGCCCUACUGGGCCCCAUUUGUGGUGGUCUGAUGGCUCUUU
Long non-coding RNA from Spodoptera frugiperda (fall armyworm), 219 nucleotides. RefSeq lists it as uncharacterized. The record is from RefSeq and is a predicted model, not a curated record. NCBI's taxonomy places the organism in Eukaryota, Metazoa, Arthropoda, Insecta, Lepidoptera, Noctuidae. The transcript is spliced from 2 exons.